UAAGCUGAGAAAUAUCCAGAGGAGUACCAACUAGAUGGUAAUGGAUAUUGAAUCCAUUUCAUAUAAUAUUCAGUUGAAUAAAAUGGACAUGUUCAGGCUGUAGAAGGAAAGACUCAAGGGGAACACUAUAAUCACACUCAGAUGGUAGAGUAGAUAGAGCACUGAGCCUGUAGUCAAGAAGAUGCAAGUUCAACUGUGGUCUCAGAAAUUAACUGUGUGAUCAUGGGACAGAACAGAGAAGUCAUCCUGAGAAACCAUUUAUUGCAGAGAAUAUUUCUGCGAGGCCCAAAUCACUGUGAUUUAAUUCAGACCCCUGUGACACGAUGGACUGACUAAGCAGACUGUGGAAAAUGUGUUACCCUUCUUCUGUAAAACAUAAUUACUGAGGAAGAUGGUCCCCCUGCAGCUUUUUGUUGAUGUACCAUUUUUCUGACUUCCUGAAGGGAAUCACCACCAAAAGCUUUUUGUCCAUGUACCCAUCCCUUUCUCUUUCUCACCUUUGGUGAACAGAUAGACUUUCCCAGGCUUUCCUGGACUUACUCCUUUGUUCCUUCCAUGUUCUGCAAAACUCAAACUAAGGUGAUUAAUUUGGUCAAUCAGCUCAUUUGACUUUUUAGCACCUUCUUUUGGUCAAUGGCAGAAUUGACAAAGAGGGGAAAUGAUUUUAUUUUCAGAUUAUCUCCUUACUGACAUCACAGUGUUAAAACAAAGCAUAACAGCAAAUAAUGCUUGAAUUAACUAUGAACUUGUCUUGCCAUUUCUCCCAGGAUUUUGCUUAAGUACUAAAGUUAAAAAGGACAAUAAAACUAAAGAUAUGAAAGACCA
RNAcentral lists this long non-coding RNA (825 nucleotides) under Monodelphis domestica (gray short-tailed opossum). Its description in RNAcentral is "lncRNA (ENSMODG00000036191.2)". Lineage: Eukaryota; Metazoa; Chordata; Mammalia; Didelphimorphia; Didelphidae. The record is from RNAcentral.